RNAcentral lists this ribosomal RNA (819 nucleotides) under uncultured Bacillota bacterium. RNAcentral describes it as "bacterial SSU rRNA". It matches the Rfam family "Bacterial small subunit ribosomal RNA", at positions 58 to 855 of the family's 1533-position model. Lineage: Bacteria; Bacillati; Bacillota. The record is from RNAcentral.
CAAGUCGAACGCGAAAGUGGAGCAAUCCAUGAGUAGAGUGGCAAACGGGUGAGUAACACGUGGGUGACCUGCCUUCGAGCGGGGGAUAACGUCCCGAAAGGGACGCUAAUACCGCAUGACAUCCUGCUUUUUAAGAGGUGGAGAUCAAAGCUGGGGAUCGCAAGACCUAGCACUCGAAGAGGGGCCCGCGCCUGAUUAGCUAGUUGGUGAGGUAAUGGCUCACCAAGGCAACGAUCAGUAUCCGGCCUGAGAGGGCGGACGGACACACUGGGACUGAGACACGGCCCAGACUCCUACGGGAGGCAGCAGUGGGGAAUUGUUCGCAAUGGGCGCAAGCCUGACGACGCAACGCCGCGUGGAGGAUGAAGACCUUCGGGUCGUAAACUCCUUUCGAUCGAGACGAACGGCUCCCGUGCUAAUCAGCGGGAGAGUGACGGUACCGAGAGAAGAAGCCCCGGCUAACUCCGUGCCAGCAGCCGCGGUAAUACGGGGGGGGCAAGCGUUGUUCGGAAUUACUGGGCGUAAAGGGCUCGUAGGUGGCCAACUCAGUCAGACGUGAAAUCCCUCGGCUUAACCGGGGAACUGCGUCUGAUACUGGAUGGCUUGAGGUUGGGAGAGGGAUGCGGAAUUCCAGGUGUAGCGGUGAAAUGCGUAGAUAUCUGGAGGAACACCGGUGGCGAAGGCGGCAUCCUGGACCAAUUCUGACACUGAGGAGCGAAAGCCAGGGGAGCAAACGGGAUUAGAUACCCCGGUAGUCCUGGCCCUAAACGAUGAAUGCUUGGUGUGGCGGGUAUCGAUCCCUGCCGUGCCGAAAGCUAA